AGUUUCAAUACAAUCCUGGUAGAAAAGAGCUCUGUAUGACUGGGUGUAUCACAAGGAGCAAGAAUCAUUUCCUUCUAACAACAUGCUUUCUGUCACCUGCUCAGUUCUUGUGAUCUUUUUAAUGUACAGGAGGACCAGUGGAGACUCAGUGACCCAGACAGAAGGCUUGGUUACUUUCACAGAGGGGGCACCUCUGAUCCUCAACUGUACUUACCAGAGCACUUACUCAAUUGCCUUUAUUUUCUGGUAUGUCCAAUAUCUCAAUAAAGCCCCUGAGCUACUCCUGAAGAGUUCAACACAAAGCCCGAGGUCAGAGAACCGGGGUUUCCAUGCAACUCUUGUUAAGAGUGACAACAGCUUCCACCUGCAGAAAUCUUCACUCCAGCUGUCAGACUCAGCUGUGUACUACUGCGCUCUGGGAGACACAGUGAGAAAUCUCUCAAAAAUGCACAUGAGGAAAAUCCUGGCUUCAUUAAAACAUACCUCAGAAGGAGGAAAAAAGCAACUAAAUAUACUGCUGCAAGGUCUGCAGCAGCGAGGUGCAGUGCUCCACUUGGCACAGCAUGCCACAAGAGACAAGCCUCCUUUAGGCACAGUGAACUGGUCACAGCUGAUCAUCACACAGGACAAACAGGCAGAAGCAAUGCACCCCACACCACUGUAG
Molecule: non-coding RNA, 664 nt
Organism: Dipodomys spectabilis (banner-tailed kangaroo rat)
Lineage: Eukaryota; Metazoa; Chordata; Mammalia; Rodentia; Heteromyidae
Source: the annotation of a RefSeq genome assembly